This 411-nucleotide ribosomal RNA is filed under the name uncultured eukaryote. RNAcentral's name for it is "partial 18S ribosomal RNA". It matches the Rfam family "Eukaryotic small subunit ribosomal RNA", at positions 592 to 976 of the family's 1831-position model. The record is from RNAcentral.
CAAUAGCGUAUAUUAAAGUUGUUGCAGUUAAAAAGCUCGUAGUUGGAUCUUGGGAUGUGAUGAACUCUGUCCACCUAGUGGUGCGAACGGGUUCGUCCAUCCUUCCCUUCUGGAUAUCCCCUGCUGUUCUUAAUUGAAUGGUAGGAGACGGUCGUUGGUUUGUUCCGGCGGCUUGGAUUCCAGAUCGUUUACUUUGAGGAAAUCAGAGUGUUCAAAGCAGGCUUAUGCCUUGAAUUCUGCAGCAUGGGAUAAUGAAAUAGGACUCAGGUUCUGUUUUGUUGGUUUUUAGGACCAGAGUAAUGAUAAAUAGGGACAGUUGGGGCCAUUAGUAUUAAGUUGUCAGAGGUGAAAUUCUAGGAUUUACUUAAGACUAACUUCUGCGAAANCANNNGGCAAGGAUGUUUUCAUNAA